CCUACGGGUGGCAGCAGUGAGGAAUAUUGGUCAAUGGACGAGAGUCUGAACCAGCCAAGUAGCGUGAAGUAUGACUGCCCUAUGGGUUGUAAACUUCUUUUAUAUGGGAAUAAAAUGUUCCACGUGUGGGAUUUUGUAUGUACCAUAUGAAUAAGGAUCGGCUAACUCCGUGCCAGCAGCCGCGGUAAUACGGAGGAUCCGAGCGUUAUCCGGAUUUAUUGGGUUUAAAGGGAGCGUAGGUGGAUUGUUAAGUCAGUUGUGAAAGUUUGCGGCUCAACCGUAAAAUUGCAGUUGAAACUGGCAGUCUUGAGUACAGUAGAGGUGGGCGGAAUUCGUGGUGUAGCGGUGAAAUGCUUAGAUAUCACGAAGAACUCCGAUUGCGAAGGCAGUUCACUGGACUGCAACUGACACUGAGGCUCGAAAGUGUGGGUAUCAAACAGGAUUAGAUACCCGAGUAGUC
Molecule: ribosomal RNA, 460 nt
Filed under: uncultured bacterium
Lineage: Bacteria
Description: partial 16S ribosomal RNA
Rfam family: Bacterial small subunit ribosomal RNA
Source: RNAcentral